This 24-nucleotide non-coding RNA is filed under the name Arabidopsis thaliana (thale cress). Lineage: Eukaryota; Viridiplantae; Streptophyta; Magnoliopsida; Brassicales; Brassicaceae. The record is from RNAcentral.
GAGGAAUGUUGUUUACAUAAGUGA